This 362-nucleotide ribosomal RNA is filed under the name uncultured bacterium. Its description in RNAcentral is "bacterial SSU rRNA". It matches the Rfam family "Bacterial small subunit ribosomal RNA", at positions 29 to 416 of the family's 1533-position model. The record is from RNAcentral.
AACGAACGCUGGCGGCAUGCCUAACACAUGCAAGUCGAACGCGUGUAGCAAUACACGAGUGGCGGACGGGUGAGUAACGCGUGGGAACCUGCCCAAUGGUAGGGAAUAACUGCGGGAAACUGCAGCUAAUACCCUAUGCUCCCUACGGGGGAAAGAUUUAUCGCCAUUGGAGGGGCCCGCGUCGGAUUAGCUAGUUGGCGGGGUAAUGGCCCACCAAGGCUACGAUCCGUAGCNGGUCUGAGAGGAUGAUCAGCCACACUGGGACUGAGAUACGGCCCAGACUCCUACGGGAGGCAGCAGUGGGGAAUAUUGGACAAUGGGCGCAAGCCUGAUCCAGCCAUGCCGCGUGUGUGAAGAAGGCC